Molecule: ribosomal RNA, 253 nt
Filed under: uncultured bacterium
Lineage: Bacteria
Description: partial 16S ribosomal RNA
Rfam family: Bacterial small subunit ribosomal RNA
Source: RNAcentral
UACAGAGGUCUCAAGCGUUGUUCGGAUUCAUUGGGCGUAAAGGGCGCGUAGGCUGCGGGGCAAGUCGGGUGUGAAAUCUCAGAGCUCAACUCUGAAACUGCACUCGAUACUGCUUUGCUCGAGGACUGGAGAGGAGAUUGGAAUUCACGGUGUAGCAGUGAAAUGCGUAGAUAUCGUGAGGAAGACCAGUGGCGAAGGCAGCUCGCUGGGACGGUACUGACGCUGAGACGCGAAAGCGUGGGGAGCAAACAGG